UACGUAGGUGGCAAGCGUUGUCCGGAUUUACUGGGCGUAAAGGGCGUGCAGGCGGUCUGUUAAGUCUAGGGUGAAAGCUCCCGGCUCAACUGGAGAGGUCCUUGGAUACUGGCGGACUUGAGGGAGGUAGAGGAAAGUGGAAUUCCCGGUGUAGUGGUGAUAUGCGUAGAUAUCGGGAGGAACACCAGUGGCGAAGGCGGCUUUCUGGGCCUUACCUGACGCUGAGACGCGAAAGCGUGGGGAGCGAACAGG
This 252-nucleotide ribosomal RNA is filed under the name uncultured bacterium. RNAcentral describes it as "partial 16S ribosomal RNA". It matches the Rfam family "Bacterial small subunit ribosomal RNA", at positions 524 to 776 of the family's 1533-position model. The record is from RNAcentral.